This 119-nucleotide ribosomal RNA is filed under the name Pteropus alecto (black flying fox). The record is from RNAcentral. Lineage: Eukaryota; Metazoa; Chordata; Mammalia; Chiroptera; Pteropodidae.
GUCUAUGGCCAUGCUACCCUGAACAAGCCCAAUCCCAUCUGAUCUUGGAAGCUAAGCAGGUUCGGGCCUGGUUAGUACUUGGAUGGGAGACCACCUAGGAAGACCAGGUGCUAUAGGCG